RNAcentral lists this ribosomal RNA (506 nucleotides) under uncultured bacterium. Its description in RNAcentral is "bacterial SSU rRNA". It matches the Rfam family "Bacterial small subunit ribosomal RNA", at positions 412 to 917 of the family's 1533-position model. The record is from RNAcentral.
AGGUCCUCUGGAUUGUAAACUUCUUUUAUAUGGGACAAAAAAAGGGUUUUCUAACUCGUCUGACGGUACCAUAUGAAUAAGCACCGGCUAACUCCGUGCCAGCAGCCGCGGUAAUACGGAGGGUGCAAGCGUUAUCCGGAUUCACUGGGUUUAAAGGGUGCGUAGGUGGGUUGGUAAGUCAGUGGUGAAAUCCCCGAGCUUAACUUGGGAACUGCCAUUGAUACUAUCAGUCUUGAAUACCGUGGAGGUCAGCGGAAUAUGUCAUGUAGCGGUGAAAUGCUUAGAUAUGACAUAGAACACCAAUUGCGAAGGCAGCUGGCUACACGAAUAUUGACACUGAGGCACGAAAGCGUGGGGAUCAAACAGGAUUAGAUACCCUGGUAGUCCACGCCCUAAACUAUGGAUACUCGACAUACGCGAUACACUGUGUGUGUCUGAGCGAAAGCAUUAAGUAUCCCACCUGGGAAGUACGAUCGCAAGAUUUGAAACUCAAGAAAUUUGACGGG